Molecule: non-coding RNA, 78 nt
Organism: Schistosoma curassoni
Lineage: Eukaryota; Metazoa; Platyhelminthes; Trematoda; Strigeidida; Schistosomatidae
Source: Rfam
AGUCUUCUGAAUCCAUGUCGAGGUUUCAUCAGACACCAGACCAUCAGUACUAAUGAGACUCUCAAGAUAAGUGAAGCG